Molecule: unclassified non-coding RNA, 240 nt
Filed under: Glomeraceae sp.
Lineage: Eukaryota; Fungi; Glomeromycota; Glomeromycetes; Glomerales; Glomeraceae
Description: partial contains 5.8S ribosomal RNA and internal transcribed spacer 2
Rfam family: 5.8S ribosomal RNA (bases 1-65)
Source: RNAcentral
GUGAAUCAUCAAAUCUUUGAACGCAAAUUGCACUCUCCUCGGAGAGUAUGCCUGUUUGAGGGUCAGCCUAUAAAAAAUCGACAUCGUUGCUGUUUCGCGGUGGCGUUCGUCGGAAAUUGGGUCAUCUUAAAUCCCUUUGAUUUAAGCGACUUAAAAUUUUCUUUUGGUUCCAUGAACGUUUCUAAGAUCUAUUUCUUCACGUUUUUGGUAUCGCUUUUUACUCUACAUGACAAUCAUAUC